GUGUGAUAAAUUAUCUAUGCCUUGGUAUUCUGCAUAAACGGAUUGCACCGCUUCUUAACGAGUGGAGAAACACAUUUGAUGAAUU
This 85-nucleotide ribosomal RNA is filed under the name Inocybe decemgibbosa. Its description in RNAcentral is "partial 28S ribosomal RNA". Lineage: Eukaryota; Fungi; Basidiomycota; Agaricomycetes; Agaricales; Inocybaceae. The record is from RNAcentral.